Long non-coding RNA from Oncorhynchus tshawytscha (Chinook salmon), 2190 nucleotides. Lineage: Eukaryota; Metazoa; Chordata; Actinopteri; Salmoniformes; Salmonidae. The record is from Ensembl.
UGGCUCUAAUAUGAUAAUGGUAGUAGGGUGGUGGAUGUCUAGUGUCCCUUAUGGCUCUAAUCUGAUAGUGGUAGUGGGGUGGUAGAUUCCUAGUGUCCCUUAUGGCUCUAAUCUGAUAGUGGUAGUGGGGUGGUAGAUUCCUAGUGUCCCUUAUGGCUCAAAUCUGAUAGUGGUAGUGGGGUGGUAGAUUCCUAGUGUCCCUUAUGGCUCUAAUCUGAUAGUGGUAGUGGGGUGGUAGAGUCCUAGUGUCCCUUGUGGCUCUAAUCUGAUAGUGGUAGUGGGGGGUGGCAGAUUCCUAGUGUCCCUUAUGGCUCUAAUCUGAUAGUGGUAGUGGGGUGGUAGAUUCCUAUUGUCCCUUAUGGCUCUAAUCUGAUAGUGUGGUAGUGGGGGUGGCAGAUUCCUAGUGUCCCUUAUGGCUCUAAUCUGAUAGUGGUAGUGGGGUGGCAGAUUCCUAGUGUCCCUUAUGGCUCUAAUCUGAUAGUAGUAGUAGGGUGGUGGAUGUCUAGUGUCCCAUAUGGCUCUAAUAUGAUAAUGGUAGUGGGGUAGUAGAUUCCUAGUGUCCCUAAUGGCUCUAAUAUGAUAAUGGUAGUAGGGUGGUGGAUGUCUAGUGUCCCUUAUGGCUCUAAUAUGAUAAUGGUAGUAGGGUGGCAGAUUCCUAGGGUCCCUUAUGGCUCUAAUCUGAUAGUGGUAGUGGGGUGGUAGAUUCCUAGUGUCCCUUAUGGCUCUAAUCUGAUAGUGGUAGUGGGGUGGUAGAUUCCUAGUGUCCCUUAUGGCUCUAAUCUGAUAGUGGUAGUGGGGUGGUAGAGUCCUAGUGUCCCUUAUGGCUCUAAUCUGAUAGUGGUAGUGGGGGGUGGCAGAUUCCUAGUGUCCCUUAUGGCUCUAAUCUGAUAGUGGUAGUUGGGGUGGUAGAUUCCUAGUGUCCCUUAUGGCUCUAAUCUGAUAGUGGUAGUGGGGGGUGGCAGAUUCCUAGUGUCCCUUAUGGCUCUAAUCUGAUAGUGGUAGUGGGGUGGUAGAUUCCUAGUGUCCCUUAUGGCUCUAAUAUGAUAAUGGUAGUAGGGUGGUGGAUGUCUAGUGUCCCUUAUGGCUCUAAUAUGAUAAUGGCAGUAGGGUGGUGGAUGUCUAGUGUCCCUUAUGGCUCUAAUAUGAUAAUGGUAGUAGGGUGGUGGAUGUCUAGUGUCCCUUAUGGCUCUAAUCUGAUAAUGGUAGUAGGGUGGUAGAUGUCUAGUGUCCCUUAUGGCUCUAAUCUGAUAGUGGUAGUAGGGGUGGCAGAUUCCUAGUGUCCCUUAUGGCUCUAAUCUGAUAGUGGUAGUGGGGUGGUAGAUUCCUAGGGUCCCUUAUGGCUCUAAUAGGAUAGUGGUAGUGGGGUUGUAGAUUCCUAGUGUCCCUUAUGGCUCUAAUCUGAUAGUGGUAGUGGGGUGGUUGAUUCCUAGUGUCCCUUAUGGCUCUAAUCUGAUAGUGGUAGUGGGGUGGUAGAGUCCUAGUGUCCCUUAUGGCUCUAAUCUGAUAGUGGUAGUGGGGGGUGGCAGAUUCCUAGUGUCCCUUAUGGCUCUAAUCUGAUAGUGGUAGUGGGGUGGUAGAUUCCUAGUGUCCCUUGUGGCUCUAAUAUGAUAAUGGCAGUAGGGUGGUGGAUGUCUAGUGUCCCUUAUGGCUCUAAUAUGAUAAUGGUAGUAGGGUGGUGGAUGUCUAGUGUCCCUUAUGGCUCUAAUAUGAUAAUGGUAGUAGGGUGGUGGAUGUCUAGUGUCCCUUAUGGCUCUAAUCUGACAGUAGUAGUGGGGGGUGGCAGAUUCCUAGUGUCCCUUAUGGCUCUAAUCUGAUAGUGGUAGUGGGGUGGUAGAUUCCUAGUGUCCCUUAUGGCUCUAAUCUGAUAGUGGUAGUGGGGUGGUAGAUUCCUAGGGUCCCUUAUGGCUCUAAUAGGAUAGUGGUAGUGGGGUGGUAGAUUCCUAGUGUCCCUUAUGGCUCUAAUCUGAUAGUGGUAGUGGGGUGGUUGAUUCCUAGUGUCCCUUAUGGCUCUAAUCUGAUAGUGGUAGUGGGGUGGUAGAUUCCUAGUGUCCCUUAUGGCUCUAAUAUGAUAGUGGAUGUAGGGUGGUGGAUGUCUAGUGUCCCUUAUGGCUCUAAUAUGAUAAUGGUAGUGGGGUGGUAGAUUCCUAGUGUCCCUUGUGGCUCUAAUAUGAUAAUGGUAGUAGGGUGGUG